RNAcentral lists this ribosomal RNA (247 nucleotides) under Staphylococcus epidermidis. RNAcentral describes it as "partial 16S ribosomal RNA". It matches the Rfam family "Bacterial small subunit ribosomal RNA", at positions 227 to 474 of the family's 1533-position model. Lineage: Bacteria; Bacillati; Bacillota; Bacilli; Caryophanales; Staphylococcaceae. The record is from RNAcentral.
GGAUCCGCGCCGCAUUAGCUAGUUGGUAAGGUAACGGCUUACCAAGGCAACGAUGCGUAGCCGACCUGAGAGGGUGAUCGGCCACACUGGAACUGAGACACGGUCCAGACUCCUACGGGAGGCAGCAGUAGGGAAUCUUCCGCAAUGGGCGAAAGCCUGACGGAGCAACGCCGCGUGAGUGAUGAAGGUCUUCGGAUCGUAAAACUCUGUUAUUAGGGAAGAACAAAUGUGUAAGUAACUAUGCACG